CAGUCGCCGCGGGAAUACGAAGGGGGCUAGCGUUGUUCGGAUUUACUGGGCGUAAAGCGCACGUAGGCGGACUUUUAAGUCAGGGGUGAAAUCCCGGGGCUCAACCCCGGAACUGCCUUUGAUACUGGAAGUCUUGAGUAUGGUAGAGGUGAGUGGAAUUCCGAGUGUAGAGGUGAAAUUCGUAGAUAUUCGGAGGAACACCAGUGGCGAAGGCGGCUCACUGGACCAUUACUGACGCUGAGGUGCGAAAGCGUGGGGAGCAAACAGGAUUAGAGACCCCUGUAGUCCCUGUCUCUUAUAC
This 301-nucleotide ribosomal RNA is filed under the name uncultured bacterium. Its description in RNAcentral is "partial 16S ribosomal RNA". It matches the Rfam family "Bacterial small subunit ribosomal RNA", at positions 509 to 807 of the family's 1533-position model. The record is from RNAcentral.